CUACCGUUGCACACAGUAACUACUCAAGAAACAUUUGUUCCACUGGACCGUUGGCCUGGGGCUGUCAAAACAAAGGACAACAAAUGUGGAGGACAGUUUCUCUGACAGAAUGAUGAGAAUUAAUUCUUUACAACUCUAUUUCAUAUCCUGAACGAAGAUAUUCAUGUGAUCACUGCUGAUAUGUCUCCGAGGUCUGCAAUUACUAUCUACAGGAUCAUCUUCCAAUUAAACUGUUUGGCCUUGAAUGCUGGUCCAAGGGUCUGCUUCCAGGGAAACCCAAGCUCUUACCAAGGUUACUCUGCCUGACACUGGGACUAGCCAGGGAAGGACAGAGAUGGCCAGAGAAGGACAGAGGCAGCCAGGGAGUAUGAAAGUAAAAAAAAAAAAAACUGGAGUUCCAGAGAAAACAUCGGCAUGCUCCCAUUCUAGUCAACACAGACCAGAUGCUCAGCAGCAGGAACGAUCCUUUAUGAUUAGAGUGUCUUACGAACAUAUGCUACAGCACCACGGCAUCCCUCUUCCGAGUCCGCGUACCUCUGCCCA
Molecule: long non-coding RNA, 543 nt
Organism: Tupaia belangeri chinensis (Chinese tree shrew)
Lineage: Eukaryota; Metazoa; Chordata; Mammalia; Scandentia; Tupaiidae
Exons: 5
Source: RefSeq, a predicted model, not a curated record